AGAAGUUUGAUCCUGGCUCAGAUUGAACGCUGGCGGCAGGCCUAACACAUGCAAGUCGAACGGUAGCACAGAGAGCUUGCUCUCGGGUGACGAGUGGCGGACGGGUGAGUAAUGUCUGGGAAACUGCCCGAUGGAGGGGGAUAACUACUGGAAACGGUAGCUAAUACCGCAUAAUGUCGCAAGACCAAAGAGGGGGACCUUCGGGCCUCUUGCCAUCGGAUGUGCCCAGAUGGGAUUAGCUAGUAGGUGAGGUAACGGCUCACCUAGGCGACGAUCCCUAGCUGGUCUGAGAGGAUGACCAGCCACACUGGAACUGAGACACGGUCCAGACUCCUACGGGAGGCAGCAGUGGGGAAUAUUGCACAAUGGCGCAAGCCUGAUGCAGCCAUGCCGCGUGUAUGAAGAAGGCUUCGGGUUGUAAAGUACUUCAGCGAGGAGAAGGCGUUGUGGUUAAUAACCACAG
RNAcentral lists this ribosomal RNA (463 nucleotides) under Citrobacter freundii. Its description in RNAcentral is "bacterial SSU rRNA". It matches the Rfam family "Bacterial small subunit ribosomal RNA", at positions 1 to 469 of the family's 1533-position model. The record is from RNAcentral. Lineage: Bacteria; Pseudomonadati; Pseudomonadota; Gammaproteobacteria; Enterobacterales; Enterobacteriaceae.